Molecule: ribosomal RNA, 301 nt
Filed under: uncultured bacterium
Lineage: Bacteria
Description: partial 16S ribosomal RNA
Rfam family: Bacterial small subunit ribosomal RNA
Source: RNAcentral
CAGUAGCCGCGGGAAUACGUAGGGUGCGAGCGUUAAUCGGAAUUACUGGGCGUAAAGCGUGCGCAGGCGGUUCGUUAAGACAGAUGUGAAAUCCCCGGGCUCAACCUGGGAACUGCAUUCGUGACUGGCAAGCUAGAGUAUGGCAGAGGGGGGUGGAAUUCCACGUGUAGCAGUGAAAUGCGUAGAGAUGUGGAGGAACACCGAUGGCGAAGGCAGCCCCCUGGGCCAAUACUGACGCUCAUGCACGAAAGCGUGGGGAGCAAACAGGAUUAGAUACCCCCGUAGUCCCUGUCUCUUAUAC